Molecule: ribosomal RNA, 226 nt
Filed under: Mycetomoellerius farinosus
Lineage: Eukaryota; Metazoa; Arthropoda; Insecta; Hymenoptera; Formicidae
Description: partial large subunit ribosomal RNA
Source: RNAcentral
GAAUUUUAUAUAUAGUGUGUUUUUGAUAUUAGUUUUAGUUAGUAUAAAUGGUAUUAUAUAUUUAGUUGGGAGGAUUGUUAAAUUAUUUAAACUUUAAUUAAUGUGAAAAUAUGGAUUAGUAGAAUUAAUUAAGAUGGAAAAUUUAAUUGAAUAAGAAUUAAUUACCUUAGGGAUAACACACACAGCGUAAUAGUUUUGGAAAGAUCAUAUUUAUAAAAUUGAUUGC